UCACCGCCCCUCAGGCCUGCGGGGCGGGCUCCGGCUAGAGGGGCCCUGCCGGGCUGCAGCCCCCGGCCAAAGCCCCGCCCCCGGCCAGCCUGUGGCGCGCGGGUCUGGCGAGCUGGAGCAGGAGGCCCUGUGACCCCCCCCCUCCGGAGGCGGGAUUAGCCCCUUCCCCGAACCGAACCCCUGGGAAAGUCGGGGGGUGCUGCCAGCUCGCCUGCCCUGGCCCCCUGUGGCGUGGGGGGGUCCUGAAUCCCCUGCUCCUGGAGCCCUGUGAUGAGGGAAGGCUCCCAGCUUCCAUUGAAAAGGGGUCUGGCCCUGGGGCGGCUGAGCCAAGCUGGGGGAAGGUGACCCUCGAAGGCUCAAAAGGUGCCCCUUCUGCUUCUGACAGUCUUUGCAAUAAGGAACAAAAAAGCAGCAGCGACUGGUCUCCACAGCACCAUUUAUAACUCUUGUACAACCUGCAUUGUCUGACAUCUGAACGAAAAUAAGAUCUACAGCUUCAGAAUGUGGAGAAGGGUGCAGUUUCCCUGGCAUGAAAUAUCUGAUCAAUUUUCACGCAGACAAGGCUGUGGGAGCUCUUAUUCCAGUUCUCUGGUCCAUCAGCGAGACCUUCAGCAAAAUCAGGGAAGACUUGAUAAUCCUAUCUCUAGUUAUGGACCAGCUUACCAAACAAUCCAGAACACUCUGUAUGACUUCCCUGUCAUCAUUAUUUCUCAUUCCACCAAACUUUAUGUGAUCCACAAAUUUUAGCAGCAGUGAUUUUAUAUUUAUUUCCAGAAAGCCACGUUGACAGAACAUUUUCUUGCUUAUGCAUGCAAAGGGAAAGAAGAGGGGAUAAGAGCUGUCUUAUCACCUAAAACUACCCAGACACUGGAAACUUCACAUGACAAGUCAUCACUUAUACUGACAGAGAAAAAUGUUUUAAUUUUAGUUGUAUUGUGGGGUGGUGGUGAUCGUGGGCUUUUGUUUUGUUUUAUUUUCUUCCCCAACAUGAUUUUGAAGUGUUUCAAUAUGAAUUGUAAAGUAUAUAGAAAAACCUUUUUGAGACCGCUCUGCCAUCGUCUAUCUUCAGCAUUCCAUACUCUUUUUUAUUUAUUCUAUAGCACUGUUUCCUAAAGGCUGGGCUACACACAAACUUCCACUGAAAUAGCUAAAUCAGUUGUAACUGAGACUUCUUGUUAUUUUGGUGCCAUCCUGUGAGUGGACAUUCUUAUUUUGGUAUCAGACUGCCUGUAUUGAUUUAGCUUAUAUUGGUGUUUUACUGACUUCAGCUAAAUUGUAGUAGGACACUUUAAUUCUGAAAUACACAGACUUCCACCAAAACAACAAAAUGUGUCAAUUACAACUGAUUGAGGCUAUGUCUACGCUACCAUUUAUGUUGGUAUAACUUAGAUCAUGGGGGCAGGUGGGUAGUUAAGCCGACGGGAGAGCUCUACACUAGAGAGCUUACGAUACAGCUGUGCCACUGCAACGUGUGUGGUGAAGAUGUUCUAUGCCGAUGGGCGAGAGCUCUCCUGUUGGCGUAAAAAACCCACCUCUGCGAGAGGCGGGAACUAUGUCGGCAGGAGAAACUCUCCCGCCAACGUAGCGCUGUCCACACUGGCGCUUAGAUCGGUGUAACAUAUGUUGCUCAAGGGGGUUGGUUUAGUCACACCCCUGAGAGACAUAAGUUAUGUCAAUAUAGGAUGUAGUGUAGAGAUAGCCUGAGUUAUUUUGGUGCAAGUUUAUAUGAGAACAAGGCUUAAAAUUUCUCUAGCCAUAUUAGAAUCUUUGGCCUACCUGCACCAUAAAAUACCUUCUAGAUGGAUUUUGUUUUCUUUUACUUGUUUUAUAGAAUGGAAUUUUCCUUCCAGGGACAGACUUUUCAUUUUGUUUUUAAAUUUGUGAAUAAAUUGGUGAGAGACUAAUACCACCAGCAUGAGCCAGGCAUGGCCCAGGAAGCUGCUAUGCAUAUUUCCACACAGAGACAAUGCAGGAUGCAUUUCCUUAUGUAGUGAGAAAGGGCAGAGAAGGCAAAGACUCUCAGCAAUCUAGCAUAUAACUAUGCUGGAGCAAGUGAACAGCCAGUCAUCAGGAAAAAAUCUAGUAACCAGCAGUGGCCAUUAAAGAUUGCUAAAUACUGGGUAGACUUGUUUGGGAAUGAUGAGGAGGAGUGUACUGCUGUAAAUGGGUCAGCAUCCAGAGCAGGAGCUAGUGGUGCCCAGCCCCUGUGCAGCAAGCUUUGCCAAGCCCUUCGCAAUCUGAAAUGAAGUAAUCGAUGUCAUCAUUUCUAGGUAGCCCCUCGGAGCUAAGAAAUCCAGAGAAGCUAGAGUGCUGGUAGUGAAGUUCCAUGGCAAAGCUAUUUUGGCUGUAGCAUAAAGAUAUUUUUAAGCUCUUAGACCAGGAGCAUGCAGGAGUCCACCACAACAUCCACAGAAUGUCAGACAGCAGAUUAUUUUCAGAGGACAGCUAGGUUAAUUAAUGUUCAUGUAUGAAAUGUGCUCAGAACAUAGUCCAUGGAUUAGAAACAAUACAUCCACCUCUUCACCACAAUCACCUGCCUCAGGCCAAACCCAGGAAAAGAUAUGGCCAUUUCAGUUUUGCCUAAAAGUCAACACAUUUGGAUUUUGUUAGACUAGAAAAGCAAAUUCCAGGAUGGGGCCCCAUCACUGACACCGCCCCUUUCCAGCCACUUAGACAUUCAACUUUAGGGACUGCAUCCAAGAGCCCUACAGCUGACCUUGACUGUAAUGUCAGGAGGAGAGACAGUUUCUCAGAUAACCAGCAGGCAAGCCACAUACCAAACAAAGACAUAGAUUUCUGUUGUUAGCAAAUACCUGCUGCUCAGAGAAGCAAUCAUUCUUGCUAACUUUUCUGUAUUAAGUUGUAUUGGUUUUCCAAAGAAUCAUACCAGUGUGCAGCAAAUUUGGGUUUUUCCUGACUCCAGUGUUUCCACAGACCACCCCCUAUUUGUGCUGUUUGGAGACACUUGCCUUGGAGCGUUUUACUGCUGUAAGUUGGUAUGACAUGAUACCAAGUAGGAAGUUUGGGGUUGUGCUCAGAGGUCAGAAGCAGGUUUUAUAGUAUGGUCCUAUGGUUUUUAAUGUGCCAGUCGCGGGAGCAUGUGCCCCAAAUUCCUGGCCUACAAUAGCCAUUCCAUUCCAAUUCUGGGCUUUUUCUGAACAGACACAGCCAGCUGUGCCUAACACCAUGGUCAUUGUCUCUGACAUGCACUAGUGGGGAGUAGGAUAAGACCAUCAAACAUCUUUUCAGAGGUGAAAGGCCAGUAUAAUCACACCACAUCCCCCUUUGCACGUAUUUGAUCUCAUUCUGGUUCCUGGUACUACAAAGUUUCCUUGAGCCUUUCUGGUCAUUUUGAAUAAUUUCAAUUGAGUAGUUUAAAAAAUGCAUCAGUGACUUAGGAACCUAAGUUCUAUUGACUCUCAAUGCUUUGACCUUUUAUAGUUAGUUUUAUUCUCUCUGUAAACAGAUGUUCUUUUUCAGAAAGGAUUUUUAAAAAAUAUUUAUUACAACUGCACAUAUUCUGUAGGUUAUGGCCUUCCUUUCGCUUUCCUAAUGAAACUUACUGAUGAAUAAAUCACUAUGGGCUGGAUUCUGACUCCUUUUUGUAUAUUGACUACCACUUAGUCCAUGAGCGGUCCCAUUGAUUUCAGUGGAGUAAGGUACUGUUCAACAAGAGUGAGGAUAUUAGAAUCUGACCCUGAGCCAUGGGCAUAUUCUGCGAGUUCUCAUUUACCUCUUUUGUUUCUGAUAAAAGCCCCUGGCUAACAAAAUAAUAUCUAAUCUGUUGCAAGACCAGUUUGGAUGAUUACUGCAUCCUAGUUAAUAUUUCAUGAUAUUUGUGACCUUUGAGUUGUUUUUGUCAGACGCUUUUUCCGGCACUAAUAAAUAGCUAAUAAACCUCUCGGAGGAACUUUCCAUUCAUAUAUUGAA
Molecule: long non-coding RNA, 3930 nt
Organism: Mauremys reevesii (Reeves's turtle)
Lineage: Eukaryota; Metazoa; Chordata; Testudines; Geoemydidae
Exons: 6
Source: RefSeq, a predicted model, not a curated record